CUACGUGGAACAAUUGGGCUGCCCCUCCAUCAUCAAACCCAGCUUCCGUGAUCUCGGCCCCGGCUGCACAAGGCUGUCAGCAGUCGGCUUUCCAUCCACCUCCUACCGCCAAUUCCCAUUAGAUAAAUUGAAUAAGACAAUAAUGGGGAAGUCGCCUCCAGCCGCCGCAACCACUGCCACCGGUUCAAAACGAUUUUCUGUGAACCGAGGAGACAAAUUCAUGUCUCAUCCGGUAAAGGUGAACGCCAAAAUCCGGCACAUCUACUCCCACAUCACGAGCACGAUGAGCGAGUCGUCAACUAAUUCUCAC
Folsomia candida is the source of this 310-nucleotide long non-coding RNA. RefSeq lists it as uncharacterized. The record is from RefSeq and is a predicted model, not a curated record. The transcript has 3 exons. NCBI's taxonomy places the organism in Eukaryota, Metazoa, Arthropoda, Collembola, Entomobryomorpha, Isotomidae.